GCAAUAUGGUGAGACCUCAUUUCUAAAAAAAAAAAAAAAUUUUAAGAGAUAUUUAAAAAACUAUGCCACCUUAAAAGAAUGCUUUGCUUGCAUUUCCACAGACCUCUGUAGACUCUUUAACAUUUCUAAAAAGAUUCAAGACAUAAACAUGAAAAUCAGAUGAGAUAAUUUACAUAAUACCCACAUAUCUGGUUCUGCAGGUUCUGCGGAUUAGGGAUGGGGCUUUAUUAAUUUGAGUAAACUUGAGUCUUGGUUUAGAAAUGAACUACAAACUCUGAUCAUGAUCUAUUCUCCUAGUAUUUGUGUUGCAGUGUUUAAAUAUGUGACCUCCAGAGUCCCAAACGCUAACUUUUGCAAAGCCAUUAUCCUGUCACAUGAUCCACAGCUUACCCAGCAACAGGAAGAGCGACAAACUUCCUUGCAUCUAUAGGCUAUGUUCUCAUAACUGCCUCUAGACCAGCCUGGGUUAUGGUGAGAAUCCAGAAUAACGUCCUGUCUACCCAUGGCCAAAACAGGGGACUGAAGGAGAAAAACCUGACCAGGACUGGAAGAAUAAAAAUCACCUCAAACUGAGAAAGAAAAAAAGCAGCCCUACCUUUAAUCGGGCUGUGAGGAUAGCGACAGCAGGCAGAAAAACACAAAAAGGAGAGACUGGCCUAGCAUCCCA
This 667-nucleotide long non-coding RNA is filed under the name Homo sapiens (human). Its description in RNAcentral is "HSALNT0348526". The record is from RNAcentral. Lineage: Eukaryota; Metazoa; Chordata; Mammalia; Primates; Hominidae.